AGCUCAACUUCUGCAGAGCUAAGGAGCUGAACUAGUCAAUGGUUAGAAGAUAGGUUUGUCAUCUCAAGGGUGGUUUGUGUUUCCUAUUAACUGGGGUUGGAAUGACAAGGGGCAAUCUUUUGAGCACUAAAGUCUGGACAGAAUGGCAUAUGACCGCUAUGCAAAGGACUGAAUCCUGGUUAUAAAUCAUAGCAACAACAGCCUGAAACUGAGCUAUCACAGACUCUUAAAUCUCCAAAGUGUGGCCUGGCCAGACUUUCUUUCUGGAAUUUUCCUCCAUGCUCCGUGACCUGAUCAAGGGUUAAAGAGGAUUCCAUAUCCCACACUACAUUAGAGAAGAGUGACAGCAUAUCAGAGAGAGGCAUUGUGGACCUGUGUUUAAGUCAGCCUGUCUGAAUCCACAUCCUGGCUCCAUCCUUCUUUACUAGUGGAAGGACUGAAGCUCAAGAAGCUAAUGAGUGGCAGAAGCUUCACUUAACCAGGUUCCUUGGAUUUUCAUCAAACUACAGCAGUUUCUUCUGUACCAUGAACCAGUUAUUCUAUUACACUACCGUGGCCAGAUCCUGGAUAGAAUUCUUUGUGGAACCAGAGGCUGAUGGAGGUUUUGCCAGCUUGAACAUGUAGUUUCCAAAAUGACUCUGGUUAUCAAUAUCCAUCCAGUAGAAGGAGAAAGAGGAAGAAGAUUGUGUGGUAGAAGACUGAAUGAGCCAGUCCUGGAGUCCCUACUACUCAUACUCCAUUGGCCGGAACUCAGUCACAUGGCCACAUCUGACCAUGAGGCAGUCUGGGAAAUGGAUUCCAGCUGUGUUCCAAUGAGGAAGCAGGUUCGAUGAAGAUCUAACCAAUCUCUCUCUCACAGAGGUAUCAAAAAGCAUUAAAGAAAGGCAGUGCUAUUUUCCUUUCAAAUUCUACUCCAACUCAUUCUCUUACUCUGUAAAUAGCUUCAGCAUCUGCUCAACUUUCCACAUUAUUUCAGUCACUAAGUCUGUACUAGUCCAUUUUCAUACUGCUAUAAAGAACUGCCUGAGACUGGGUAAUUUAUAAAAGAAAAAGGUUUAUUGACUCACAGUUCAGCAUGGCUUGGGAGGCCUCAGGAAACUUACAAUCAUGACAAAAGGUGAAGAGGAAGUAAGGCACCUCCUUCACUAGGUGAAAGGAAGGAGAAGUGUUGAGCGAAGGGGGAAGAUCCCAUUAUAAAACCAUCAGAUCUCGUGAGAACUCUCACCAUCACAAGAACAGCAGGGGGGAACAGCCCCCAUGAUUCAAUUACCUCCACCUGGUCCCACCCUCCACACAUGGAGAUUAUGGGAAUUAAAAUUUGAGAUGAGAUUUAUGUGGGGAAAAGAGCCAAACCAUAUCAAAGUCCGUUUGUUUUCUCAUUCAUUUAACAAACAUUUUCUGGCUAUUAAUCAUUUUGCCAGGAACUGUGCUAGACACUGGGAACAUAAUAGUGAAAAAGACACAAUAUUUUAUUAUUAGUCAAUGAUAAUGGACUGAAAGAAGAAUAUAGUUGACCCUUGAACAACGAGGGGAUUAGGGACACUGACACCCUGUGCAGCUGAAAAUCCAUGUAUAACUUUUGAAUCUUCCAAAACAACUCAUGCCUGUAAUCCCAUUACUUUGGGGAGGCCAAGGCAGGCAGGUCACUUGAGCCCAGGAAUUUGAGACCAGUCUGGGAAAAAUGGCAAAUCCCUAUCUCUACAAAAAAAAUUCAAAAUUAUCCAGGCAUGGUACUGCAUGCCUGUAGUCCCAGCUACUUAGGAGGCUGAGGUGGGAGGAUCGCUUGAGUCCAGACCCGAAAACUUAACUACUUAUAGCCUACUAUUGACCAGAAGCCUUACUGAGGACAUUAACAGUCAAUUAACACAUAUUUGUAUGAUAUGUGUAUUGUAUACUGUAUUCUUGUAAUAAAGAAAGCUAGAGAAAAGAAAAUGUUAUUCAGAGAAUCAUGAAGAAGAGAAAAC
This 1964-nucleotide long non-coding RNA is filed under the name Homo sapiens (human). RNAcentral's name for it is "HSALNT0022401". The record is from RNAcentral. Lineage: Eukaryota; Metazoa; Chordata; Mammalia; Primates; Hominidae.